Long non-coding RNA from Mirounga angustirostris (Northern elephant seal), 441 nucleotides. RefSeq lists it as uncharacterized. The transcript is spliced from 4 exons. NCBI's taxonomy places the organism in Eukaryota, Metazoa, Chordata, Mammalia, Carnivora, Phocidae. The record is from RefSeq and is a predicted model, not a curated record.
CCUUGGAACACCUCCUCCAAGGAAAGCAUGCUCUCCAAACUCUUUUCUGAUGUGGCUAAAGAAAAUAAUGACGAUGAAAAAGCUCCAAGAAGUUAUAGCCAGGGGCCACAGAGAAGAAGUGACAAAAUACACUAAAACACAGAAGUAUCUUUGGUCCCUGAGUCACCACUUGGAGGGGAGCUGAUCAAGAGAGCUGCCUGAUCUACAUCAGACUGUUGCCUGAAUGAAAAAUAAACAGAAAUUCCAAGGUCUUAUCUGAAAAUAUGUUGAGAUAUAUUUUGGAUUCUUUUCCUACUACUGCCUUCACUGUUAAAGAAGAUCUUUAUGACUUUUUUUUUUAGUGGAUGAUGUUGGCUGAUAGGGAAACACAAACUUUGUGAAAAGGAAGAAAGUUGUUCUUUGGAAGAGAAACCAGCACUGCAUUUGAUUGCAUGGCCCUCC